RNAcentral lists this ribosomal RNA (108 nucleotides) under Flavobacterium potami. Lineage: Bacteria; Pseudomonadati; Bacteroidota; Flavobacteriia; Flavobacteriales; Flavobacteriaceae. The record is from RNAcentral.
AGGUGGUUAUUGCGGCGGGGCUCACCUCUUCCCAUCCCGAACAGAGAAGUUAAGCCCGCCUGCGCAGAUGGUACUGCAGUUAUGUGGGAGAGUAUGUCGUCGCCUUUC